This 62-nucleotide transfer RNA is filed under the name Candidatus Cryptobacteroides faecavium. It matches the Rfam family "tRNA", at positions 8 to 63 of the family's 71-position model. Rfam says of the family: Transfer RNA (tRNA) molecules are approximately 80 nucleotides in length. Their secondary structure includes four short double-helical elements and three loops (D, anti-codon, and T loops). Further hydrogen bonds mediate the characteristic L-shaped molecular structure. tRNAs have two regions of fundamental functional importance: the anti-codon, which is responsible for specific mRNA codon recognition, and the 3' end, to which the tRNAs corresponding amino acid is attached (by aminoacyl-tRNA synthetases). tRNAs cope with the degeneracy of the genetic code in two manners: having more than one tRNA (with a specific anti-codon) for a particular amino acid; and 'wobble' base-pairing, i.e. permitting non-standard base-pairing at the 3rd anti-codon position. Lineage: Bacteria; Pseudomonadati; Bacteroidota; Bacteroidia; Bacteroidales. RNAcentral also lists the same sequence under 2 other names. The record is from RNAcentral.
ACUUUAGCUCAGUCGGUAGAGCAACGCAUUCGUAACGCGUAGGUCGUGGGUUCGAUUCCCAU